Molecule: ribosomal RNA, 827 nt
Filed under: Psora decipiens
Lineage: Eukaryota; Fungi; Ascomycota; Lecanoromycetes; Lecanorales; Psoraceae
Description: LSU rRNA
Rfam family: Eukaryotic large subunit ribosomal RNA
Source: RNAcentral
GAAGCGGCAACAGCUCAAAUUUGAAAUCUGACCCUUGGGGUCCGAGUUGUAAUUUGCAGAGGGUGUUUCGGGCACGGUGCCGGUUUAAGUCCUUUGGAACAGGGCGUCAUAGAGGGUGAGAACCCCGUAUGUGACCGGUCGCCAAACCCAUGUGAAACCCCUUCGACGAGUCGAGUUGUUUGGGAAUGCAGCUCAAAAUGGGUGGUAAAUUUCAUCUAAAGCUAAAUAUUGGCCAGAGACCGAUAGCGCACAAGUAGAGUGAUCGAAAGAUGAAAAGCACUUUGGAAAGAGAGUCAAACAGCACGUGAAAUUGUUGAAAGGGAAGCGCUUGCGACCAGACCUGUUCGCGGGUGAUCAGCGGUGCUUUUCGCGCCGUGCACUCAUCCGCGAUCAGGCCAGCAUCGGUUCAGGCGGCCGGAUAAAGACUCGGAGAAUGUAGCUCCCUCCGGGGAGUGUUAUAGCUCCUUGUGCAAUACGGCCAGCCGGGACCGAGGACCGCGCUUCGGCUAGGAUGCUGGCGUAAUGGUCGUAAGCGACCCGUCUUGAAACACGGACCAAGGAGUCUAACAUCUGUGCGAGUGUUUGGGCGUCAAACCCAUGCGCGCAAUGAAAGUGAACGUGAGGUGGGAACCCUUUCGGGGGCGCACCAUCGACCGAUCCAGAUGUCUUCGGAUGGAUUUGAGUAAGAGCACAGCUGUUGGGACCCGAAAGAUGGUGAACUAUGCCUGAAUAGGGUGAAGCCAGAGGAAACUCUGGUGGAGGCUCGCAGCGGUUCUGACGUGCAAAUCGAUCGUCAAAUUUGGGUAUAGGGGCGAAAGACUAAUCGA